GAUCAGGCUCAGGAUGAACGCUAGCGACAGGCUUAACACAUGCAAGUCGAGGGGCAUCAUGAGGUAGCAAUACCUUGAUGGCGACCGGCGCACGGGUGAGUAACGCGUAUGCAACCUGCCUGAUACCGGGGUAUAGCCCAUGGAAACGUGGAUUAACACCCCAUAGUACUUUUAUCCUGCCUGGGAUGGGAGUUAAAUGUUCAAGGUAUCGGAUGGGCAUGCGUCCUAUUAGUUAGUUGGG
RNAcentral lists this ribosomal RNA (241 nucleotides) under uncultured bacterium. RNAcentral describes it as "partial 16S ribosomal RNA". It matches the Rfam family "Bacterial small subunit ribosomal RNA", at positions 15 to 253 of the family's 1533-position model. The record is from RNAcentral.